Molecule: ribosomal RNA, 443 nt
Filed under: uncultured bacterium
Lineage: Bacteria
Description: bacterial SSU rRNA
Rfam family: Bacterial small subunit ribosomal RNA
Source: RNAcentral
CCUANGGGAGGCUGCAGUCGAGAAUAUUCCACAAUGGGCGAAAGCCUGAUGGAGCGACGCCGCGUGCGGGAAGAAGGCCCUUGGGUUGUAAACCGCUUUUCUUUGGGAAAAAUGUAAUGAUGGUACCAAAGGAAUAAGAGGUUACUAACUCUGUGCCAGCAGUAGCGGUAAUACAGAGACCUCAAGCGUUAUCCGGAUUUAUUGGGCGUAAAGCGCGUGUAGGCGGCUUUGUUAGUCAGAUGUCAAAGCCCCGAGCUCAACUCGGGAACUGCAUUUGAAACGGCAAAGCUUGAGAGAGGGAGAGAUCAAUGGAACGUAUGGUGUAGCAGUGAAAUGCGUUGAUAUCAUACGGAACACCAAAGGCGAAGGCAUUUGGUUGGCCCUCAUCUGACGCUGAGACGCGAAAGCGUGGGUAGCGAAUGGGAUUAGAUACCCGANUANUC